AACGAACGCUGGCGGCGUGCUUAACACAUGCAAGUCGAACGCGAAAGGGACUUCGGUCCUGAGUAAAGUGGCGCACGGGUGAGUAACGCGUAGAUAACCUGUCUUCAUGUCUGGAAUAAUACGCCGAAAGGGGUACUAAUACCGGAUACUCUUGCUUUAUAUAAGUUUUGCAAGCAAAGGUGGACUCUGCAUAUGCUACUUCAUGAAGAGGGACCGGGGUACCAUUAGCUAGUAGGUGGGGUAAUGGCCUACCUAGGCGACGAUGGUUAGCGGGUGUGAGGGGAUGACCCGCCACACUGGCACUGGAACACGGGCCAGACUCCUACGGGAGGCAGCAGUGAGGAAUAUUGCGCAAUGGGGGCAACCCUGACGCAGCGACGCCGCGUGAGUGAGGAAGGCCUUCGGGUCGUAAAGCUCUGUCAAAGGGAAAGAAGUGCAUGAUGGCUAAUACCUGUCAUGUUUGACGGUACCCUUAAAGGAAGCACCGGCUAACUCCGUGCCAGCCGCCGCCGUAA
RNAcentral lists this ribosomal RNA (515 nucleotides) under uncultured bacterium. RNAcentral describes it as "partial 16S ribosomal RNA". It matches the Rfam family "Bacterial small subunit ribosomal RNA", at positions 29 to 523 of the family's 1533-position model. The record is from RNAcentral.